RNAcentral lists this long non-coding RNA (759 nucleotides) under Elaeis guineensis (African oil palm). Its description in RNAcentral is "long non-coding RNA (EGUI_LNC004687)". Lineage: Eukaryota; Viridiplantae; Streptophyta; Magnoliopsida; Arecales; Arecaceae. The record is from RNAcentral.
ACCUCAGCCAGAAGACUAAUGGUAAUAAUAAGAGUUUGAAUAAAUGCAAUUCCUUGAUCUUUUUAUUAUUAAACCCCUCGAUCUUCUUAAUAUUGUUUUCAUACUAUCGAUAUAUGGAGCCCUAGUUCAAGAGCCAUAGAGCCACAUACUGACGGGUAACUGGAGCAUCAUGGACUGAGGGGCAGGCUCUGUUUUUGUCUAUAUGACAUAAUAGAAUUAUUGGGAUGCAUAAUGCAUAUAUAUUACCAUCUUGUGAUACAAAUACUUAAUCUCACUUAGAAAGCUAGGUUUGAAAGCUUCAUGAAUUUAAAUUGGCUUUAUACAUGUAUAACACACAAGCAAUGUGCCACUUGAUCACAUGUCAAAAGCCCUCCAAUCAAAGCUAGAGUUACAUCAUGGAAAGACUGAAGGAACAUCCUCUAAUCAAUAACCCUUGAUUCAAUGAAUAAUGCAAGUGUUUGAAUUAUUGAAAUCAAAACCCUCCUCCACCUCAAUUCAAGGUAAUACAAAGAGCUAUCAAUUGGGCUAAAUACUUGUAGUGUCCAUAAGGUUCUCCCUUUCUUCCCUUCCACUUUAUUUUAAUGUUUAAUAAGAGCCUUCUUGCCCGGUGAACUUAAGGGCAUAUUUGGUUGGGGAUAAUAUUCAAAUUCCAUGGGAGAAUAGGAAUGUGCCUCAAUCUCAUAAAACUCAAUUCCUAUUUUCUCUUAAUAUUCAAAUUUUAUUUUAAUUUAAAUUUAGAUUUCGAUCAUGAAUUAAAUA